RNAcentral lists this long non-coding RNA (3151 nucleotides) under Nicotiana tabacum (common tobacco). RNAcentral describes it as "long non-coding RNA (NTAB_LNC004942)". The record is from RNAcentral. Lineage: Eukaryota; Viridiplantae; Streptophyta; Magnoliopsida; Solanales; Solanaceae.
GGUUUAGGUCCACCUGCUUCUAUUCUCUUUCUCCUUCACUGCACUGAAGUAUGUCUAUUCUCUUCUUCUUGUGAGUUUUCAACUCUCUUUCUUCUUUAAUGUCGAAUCUCUCUCUUUUCUAUAUGGUUUAUUAUGGUGGUUGAGGCAGUGACUCUUUCUUCUUCUAUUUUAGGUUUUCUGAAAUUUCUUUUAUUUCUCUGGCUUCACUCUCUGAAAGUGUGAGCGAGUUUUUUCUGAAAUUUUUCUCUGUUGCAUACACUUCAUUUCAUUGUCCAUCGGUAAUUACAGUUUGUUGGAUAUUGUGGUUUGUUUUAUUGUUUGUGGGUAAUCACAAUUUGCUGGGUAUAUGUUAUUUUCACUAUAUGUUGGUCUUUUGUUUCUUUAUGGAGAUUUGUUUUUGGAUUUUCUACAUGGAUGGCAGUAAUUUGUUUUGAUUUCUGCAUCUUGGUGUUUAAUUUCACUAACAUUUUCUUUUGGAAAUUUUUCCAUCGAACGAACCUGUGAUGACCCGAUAGGUCAUCUUAUAUUUUAAAAUCAAAUUUUAUGUUUCGAGGUCUCAAAAAUCUCAUUUUGGCUUUCUUCGAUUUGCGUGCGCAGUCCGGAUAUUCUUCCGAAAGGCUUAUAUGUUAAAAACUGAUAAAAAUAAGAAUUUUGUUUUAAAAAUUAAUUUGAGUUGACUUCGGUCAACGUUUUGAGUAAACUGACCCGAUCCGUAUUUUGACGGAUCCGGAUCUGUAUUUUGACGGUCCCGGUAAGUCCAUAUCGAAAUAUAUAUGGGACUUGGGCGUAUGCCCGGAAUCGAAUUCGAAGGUCCCUAGCUCAAGUUAUGAAUUUUGGUGAAAAUUAAAAAUCUGGAAGUUUAAUGGUUUUUAAGAAUUAACUUAUGUUUGGAUUUAUUGAUACAGGGUUCGUAUUUUGGUUUCGGACUCCGGUACAGGUUCACCAUAAUAUUUAUGACUUGUCUGUCAAAUUUUGUGAGAAACGGAGUUGAUAUGACGUGAUUCGGACGUUCAGUUGUGAAAAUAGAAGUUUUAAAGUUUUCUUGAAAAUUUACUUUGAUUCGGUGUCUGAUCCAUAGUUCUAGGCGUUAUUUUGGUGUUUUGAUCGCGGGAGCGAGUUCGUAUGAUGUUUUGAACUUGUGUGCAUAAUUGAUUUGGAGCCCCGAGGGCUCGGGCGAGUUUCGGAUAGGCUACGGGUGUUUUGAAACUUAGAAAAUCCGGUUUAUUUUGUGCUUUAGCUAUUAUCUGGUGUCUUCUUCUUCACGAUCGCUAAGGUACUCUUGCGAACGCGAAGAGUAAAUUGGGGCAUGGUGACUUUCUUAAUCAUGAACGCGGUAGAUGGGUCGCGAACGCGAAGCAAUGGGGGGCCUUACCCUUCGCGAACGCGAAGCUUUAGGGACCUGGGGGAGGGGUCAGUUAUCCUUCUACGUGAACGCGAGCCUUGGCUCGCGAACGCAAAGGCCAGGGGAGCAGCCUUCGCGAACGCAAAGGAGGACUCGCGAGCGCGAAAGCCACUCGGGCUGCUGCACAUCGCGAACGCGAAGAAGGCCUGACACCCAAACCUUAAAACAUUUCAAAAAGGGGAUUUUAUCCAUUUUUCAUAAACUCUCCAUUAGAGCUCGGCCUAGGUGCGAUUUUGAAGGGAAAACUCAACACCAAUUUAUAGGUUUGUACUCUUUAACUCAUUUCCUUCCAUUUCUAAAAUCACCCAUUAAAUUCAUUAAAUUCUUAGCCCUAAUCUUUGUUCUUUCAUGGUAGUAAACUUGGGAUUUAGGAAGAAUUGAGAGGUUUUUGCAAAUUGGGGAUUUAGACCUCAAUUUGGGGUCGGAUUUCAAAACUAGUUACAUAAUCGGGCUCGGGGGUAAAUGGGUAAAUGGAUUUUGCUACGAACCUCGGGUUUUGACCAAGCGGGCCCGGGUCGAUUUUUGACUUUUUGGGGAAAAGUUUGGGGAAUCUAAAAUUAUGCAUUGUAAUUUAUUUCUUUAGCAAUAUCUGAUGUUAUUGAGUCGUUUGUGGAUAGAUAUGAGUGGUUUGGAGGUGGAUUCUAGAGGAAAAGCGGUAAUUGAACAUUGAGUGGCCCUUGGAGCGAGGUAAGUGUCGUGGUUAACCUUGACUUAGGGGAGUAUGACUUGUUUGUCUAUUUGCUACAUGUAUAAAUGUUGGGGAACAACGUAUAUGUGAGGUGACGAGUACUUAUGCGUUGUAGUCGGGUUAAAUCAUGCGAGCAGGGCUUGGUUUCUUGCAAUUAUAGUUUUCUUUGUUCAUGUUUCCAUGUUUAGACUAGUAUGGUUAAAUUGAUCGUUCUUAUCAUGUUUACGGAUCAUCUAGUGAUAAUUGAGUAUUGAUUCCGAAGUUGAGGUUGAUAUUGUGGAAUCAAAUGUUGAAGUAAGGCUUGUACUUGUUAUUCUAUCUCCCUGUUGUUAUUUGUUCAUUGCAUUAUGGUAAGGGAGAGCGUUAAUGCACGAAGGGUGAUGCCGUGCCACAUUGUGAGUGUUAAUGCACGAAGGGUGAUUCCGUGCCAUAUUGUGAGAGUUAAUGCACGAAGGGUGACGUCGUGUCAUUUCUAUUAAUUUUAUGGUAAGGUUGAGAGUAAAAGCACGAAGGGUGAUGCCGUGCAUUUUUCCUUUACUGUAUUUACUUGUUCUUAUUGGUUCAUAAUAUAUUGGAUGUUCAAGUUACCAUUUUGCUGUAGUUCUCUAUCUCGUAUUCCCCUCAGCAUGUUUUUCCCUCCCAAUAGUACACAUUUAGCUCUAAUUUGAACAUAUACUGUUAAAUUGCAUAGGUUUGUUAUGUAGGUGUCUUGUCAUAGUCUCGUCACUACUUCGUCAAGGUUAGGCUCGAUACUUACCAGUACAUUGGGUCGGUUGUACUGAUACUACAUUCUUCACUUCCUGUGCAGAUUUUGAUAUUGGUCCCAGCUGAUCGAGAGGCGUAGCAGCUUGGACUGGUUCGUCGGAGACUCAAGGUAGAUCUGUUGGCGUUCGCAGACCUUGAAGUCCUCGUCUAUCUUUUCUGUUUUUUUUCUUUACAGUUUCUUUUGUUCAAACAGUUAUUUUUCUUUCAGACUUUUACUUGUAAUAAAUCCUAGAAGUUCGUGAAUUGUGACUCCAGAUCCGAGUGGUAGUAAUUAAUGAAGUUUUUAUAUUAUUCCG